GAUGAACGCUAGCGGCAGGCUUAACACAUGCAAGUCGAGGGGUAUAGUAGCAAUACUAGAGACCGGCGCACGGGUGCGUAACGCGUAUGCAAUCUACCUUUUGCAGAGGGAUAGCCCAGAGAAAUUUGGAUUAAUACCUCAUAGUAUAUAUGGAUGGCAUCAUUUAUAUAUUAAAGUCACAACGGCAAAAGAUGAGCAUGCGUCCCAUUAGCUUGUUGGUAAGGUAACGGCUUACCAAGGCAACGAUGGGUAGGGGUCCUGAGAGGGAGAUCCCCCGCACUGGUACUGAGACACGGACCAGACUCCUACGGGAGGCAGCAGUAAGGAAUAUUGGGCAAUGGACGCAAGUCUGACCCAGCCAUGCCGCGUGAAGGAUGACGGCCCUAUGGGUUGUAAACUUCUUUUGUACGGGAAAAACCUUCGAACGUGUUCGAAGCUGAUGGUACCGUAAGAAUAAGCAUCGGCUAACUCCGUGCCAGCAGCCGCGGUAAACUGU
RNAcentral lists this ribosomal RNA (496 nucleotides) under uncultured bacterium. RNAcentral's name for it is "bacterial SSU rRNA". It matches the Rfam family "Bacterial small subunit ribosomal RNA", at positions 28 to 528 of the family's 1533-position model. The record is from RNAcentral.